AUAAUUUUUUUUAUCUUAGAUGCGACGAAUGCCAGAAGAAUUACCAUUUCACCUGUUUAGAUCCUCCAGUGAAGAAAACCCCAAAACGGAGAGGAUAUUCUUGGCACUGUGCCGAUUGCGACCCCACAGCUUCAGAAUAAUUAUUGUAUUUAUGUGUUUAUAGGUAUAAUCAGUCUGUAUUCUAACAUUACCGAAAUAAAUCCAGUUAUUUUAA
Anoplophora glabripennis (Asian longhorned beetle) is the source of this 214-nucleotide long non-coding RNA. RefSeq lists it as uncharacterized. Lineage: Eukaryota; Metazoa; Arthropoda; Insecta; Coleoptera; Cerambycidae. The transcript has 2 exons. The record is from RefSeq and is a predicted model, not a curated record.